This 286-nucleotide ribosomal RNA is filed under the name Staphylococcus aureus. Its description in RNAcentral is "partial 16S ribosomal RNA". It matches the Rfam family "Bacterial small subunit ribosomal RNA", at positions 993 to 1278 of the family's 1533-position model. The record is from RNAcentral. Lineage: Bacteria; Bacillati; Bacillota; Bacilli; Caryophanales; Staphylococcaceae.
GACAACUCUAGAGAUAGAGCCUUCCCCUUCGGGGGACAAAGUGACAGGUGGUGCAUGGUUGUCGUCAGCUCGUGUCGUGAGAUGUUGGGUUAAGUCCCGCAACGAGCGCAACCCUUAAGCUUAGUUGCCAUCAUUAAGUUGGGCACUCUAAGUUGACUGCCGGUGACAAACCGGAGGAAGGUGGGGAUGACGUCAAAUCAUCAUGCCCCUUAUGAUUUGGGCUACACACGUGCUACAAUGGACAAUACAAAGGGCAGCGAAACCGUGAGGUCAAGCAAAUCCCAUA